RNAcentral lists this ribosomal RNA (253 nucleotides) under uncultured bacterium. RNAcentral's name for it is "partial 16S ribosomal RNA". It matches the Rfam family "Bacterial small subunit ribosomal RNA", at positions 524 to 776 of the family's 1533-position model. The record is from RNAcentral.
UACAGAGGGUGCAAGCGUUGUUCGGAAUUAUUGGGCGUAAAGGGCGCGUAGGCGGCUUUGCAAGUCGGGUGUGAAAUCCCCAGGCUUAACCUGGGAACUGCAUUCGAGACUGCAUUGCUAGAGUAUGGGAGAGGGAAGUGGAAUUUCCGGUGUAGCGGUGAAAUGCGUAGAUAUCGGAAGGAACAUCAGUGGCGAAAGCGACUUCCUGGACCAAUACUGACGCUCAUGUGCGAAAGCGUGGGGAGCAAACAGG